Molecule: long non-coding RNA, 9402 nt
Filed under: Aquilegia coerulea
Lineage: Eukaryota; Viridiplantae; Streptophyta; Magnoliopsida; Ranunculales; Ranunculaceae
Description: long non-coding RNA (ACOE_LNC001395)
Source: RNAcentral
CUAGAUCCUUGACCUCCAGAAUUACUCUAAUGGAUUAAAGCUUAAUAACUCAUAUAUUAACUACUACAUAAAAUGAAAAAGUUUCAUCUCUCCCUUGAAAAAGGGAGAUUAACCUAGCAUAAUACUAAACUAAAAUCUAUUAAAUGAAAUGACAUAAAAUAAAAACUAACUAAACUAAAAGAAGAAGAAAAGAACUUUUAUGAGAAUGAGUUUUUGCUCUCCACUCUUGAUGAUCAUUACAAUGAAUAGAGCUCCCUAUUUAUAGAUCCAUGGGGAGCCUAAAAGGGAAAAAUUGCAAAAUAUUACAUAAUAUUUGAUUUGAUUGCUAAUCAAAUCAUUUGUGGAAGAAAAUGUCAAGAAUAAAAUCUUUGAAUGAUUGUGGUCAAAUAUUAAUGAAAAACAUGUGUUGAAAAUCAAAUCCUUGCCACCAUUGUUGCCAAUUCUGUAUAAAACUGCCAUAUAUAGUGGUAUUCUAGAAGAUACUGGCAAUCUUUCUUGGAUGGUUGAGUUGUCACAAUAUUCUCCAUAUUUUACACAUGCUAGAAUCUUAAAUAUCAACCUUGAAGUGAUUCCAUACUCCAUCUUCUAUUUAGUAGUCUCACUUCACUUAUCUCCUUAAUGGGCCUCUCUUGGAUUUAAGCUUUGUAGAUAAUUUAUGGGCUCAUUUAGAUUUAAUCCACUAAUAUUCAUUCAAGGCUUUGACCAUUUGGAUCCAUGACUUUGGGCUUCGUACUUGACUUUUCUCUUUUUGCUCUUUUUAUAUCAUUUUGUAGGCUUUUUCUUUGAUUUAUUAUUUUCUAGGUUCUUUCCUACAAAAAUACAAAAACAAUAGAUAUUACUCUAAUUCAAGUCCAAAAGUGAGUUCUAACAUCAUACUAAUUAGGGGUAAAAACUACGUUUUUGGAUACUUAUCUCAACCCCCAAACUAGCAUUUGCUAGUCCUCUAGCAAAAGAGAGAAAUAAAUUAAAAGCAUAAGUAGACAAAAACUUUAUUUAAUAUACAGGUUAUACCAUUACGUGGUAUGAGACGAGUGCAUUAACCAAAUGCACUAAGACCUUAAACCCCUAGGUUUUCCCUAGUAGGAUGAGUUAUAGCCUCGUGAGGGUUUGCAGAGAAUAUACCCACAAAAUUCAGAAAAACAAAAAUGGGAAUAAUGGUGAUGCAACUUUUCUCAGAGAAAAUAAUAUUUUCCAAAUGUUAAGUUCAUGCUCACACUUUAUAUCACAUCAUCCAUCAUAAAUCUAACAGAUUGUAUUUUAUUUCUAGAAAUAGAGACUAUCCGAUCAUAAUCCUGACAAAGUGUGUGUGUGUGUGUUAAUAGCCACAAAAUAUAAUUUUUCUUAUCCAAGCAAGGAAAUUCCUAAUUUUCUUUUGAAAAAUUCGCUUUGACCCAAAUCUCACCGGGCAUACACUCAGAAAAAAAAUCGCUCAGAGAUUAGUUUUAUCAUUUUACCUCUAUAUGUGAGGGAAGGAAUUAAAAAUCAGAACAUCCCACAUAUGUAAAAAGAAACACUUUAUCUUUAUAAUAGUCUCAUAGAAUGGAUAUUGAUCACAUGCGAGAGUGUCGGGUAUUUCACCUUAGCGUCUUCUCACCUAUUCUCCACUUUUUACCAUACAUCAAUUUGAAUCGAAUAAGUAUAAAAAUGUUGUAACUUGGCUUGGGGCGGGUUUAUGAAAGAAAGAUAAAUGAUCAAAGUUUUCUAGAGAUACGAAGGGUCUUCAUUUAUCUUUGACAAAUUUUUGACUUCAAGGUUCAUUUAAGGAGAUUUGAAUCUUCAUACUUUAAGAUAUCUUCAAUUUCUCGACUUUGAAAAUUCACUAAUAUCCAUUUCUUCAUUGGUUUUUUUGUAAUUGACUGUACAUGGAUAUUUUCUUGCAUUCCAUCAACUCUUUUUUAUUUUUUAUUUUUUUUAAAGACAGAAAUCUUCACAACCAUCAUUCUCCUUUUCUAAUGUUUGUCUUCAUAAUUCAUCCUUGGCAUAUCUAAAAAAAUAGGUAAUGGAUAUAAGUUGAGGUGUAAAACUCCAAAUUUAGAGUAUUGGGUAUGGAUAAUGGGCUUAGAAAAAGGCUUAGUCAAAGGCUCAGAAGGGCUCCUACUUGGAUAUUAUUAUUUUAGGUGGACUAAAGGCUAAAUUGGCUAAAACUAAAAAGAUACUUAUUUUCAUCUUUAAAAGGGUAGUAUGGUAAUUUUAUCUUGAAAAGACUACAAGACCCAAAUUUAUAUCUCCCCACUUGACUUCACUCUCGUGAUCAAUCAAAGUAAAAAUAAUGAGACUAGAACGAAUUCAAAUAACGCUGAAAGAAAAAUUGAGCCAUGUAGGACCCGGAGUGACGUAUAUAACUCUCCAAAGAAAAGAAUGGCUCAAGUCUCACAUGGUUAUAUGAUCUCCACAUUUAUUCCUCUAGAUCCUUAGGAAGUUAAUUGCUUUUCAAUUCAAAUUACACUUGUGGCUUUUGUGCAUAAAAUUUUCCAAGUCAGGAUUUUUACGAAUAAAAUCUAUUUAUAGUAAUAACACACUAUCUUACUACAUAAAUAACUUUUGAAAUGAUUUUCCAUGUUUGCAAUUCCCAAACACUUGAACUUUAAAAAUUCAUAUCUCAUCAUAGAAAAUCACCAUUAGUCUUAUAUAUAUAUAUAUAUAUAUAUAAAACAAAAAAUUAGGUAAUAAAAUUUCAAGAUUUAAAUUUUAGCCUUUCCCCCCAAACUAAAUCAUGCAUUGUCCUCAGUGCAAAAGAAUUUAAUAACACAAGCAAAAAUUUAAUUGAAAGUGAAUUUUAUUACCAAUAGAACUAUACUACAAGAACUUGGGUUGCCUCCCAAGAGCGCUAAGUUUUAUGUCUUCAGCCAGACAUAAGUUUUGGGUCUUUUUAAAAAGUCAGAUUCCCGAGACUUAAAAGUUCUAACUUAUAAUUAAACAAUUUCCUAAGUAGCGCUAAGUUUUUUUUCUUCAGCUAGACGCACUAGACAUUCUCAUUGGUAUUAGCCAAAUGUCAAAAUCUUAAAUAAUUGAUAAUCCUUCCAGAAAAUUGAACCAUUGAAAUUAACAACAAACUGGAUAGCGCGGAAAAAAGGUUCAUAUAAUUAAAAUAAUCUCUUCCAACAUAAACUUGAUGCACAAAUGUUUGGGAGAAGUAUGGGCUUGUAUAGGCUUGUAGAUGGGAUGGUGAAUUAUGAGCCAAAGGAUUGAGCGCAUGAAGAUUCUCGUCCCCCCGGUCUAUCUCUUGAUGGUUGAAGUACUUGUAUAGUAUUGGUGAUACUAUAAGAUCAUAAUCUAAGUUUGGGGCUUUACAAAAAGAGAUGAAAGGUUGGACAUUUGGAGUAUGGAUGUUGGAUUCCUUUGAGUGAGUUUUUACAAUAGAAAAGUUACUUGAGUCAAUAUAAUUAUUCGCAAGUUAAUUCUCUCAAGAUUGGGUCAUCACUUUUCAUUAAGAAAUUAAUACACUCAUUUAUGGGUGGAUCAUUUGGAUCCUCCGGAUAGAGGCGAUAAAAUUCUUCAUCGGUCAUUAAGUCCUCAUGAGGUUGGCUUAGUUUGAGAUGGUCAUCAAGGUAAUACUUUUCUAUAGCCAUGAUGGAACAUACAUCCUCUACCAAAUCCAAAUCUUCUGGUGGUUUUGUAAGCGUAGAUAUGUUCACUUCGAUCUUCAUAUUCCUAAAGGUUAAGGUCAUGUUACCAUUUCGACAAUUAAUAAUGGCAUUAACAGUAGCUAAAAAUGAUCGACCUAAAAUAAUUGGUAUUUGUUUCCCUUGGGUAGGUUGAGUAUCUAAGACAACGAAAUCUACCGGAUAAUAGAAGUUUUGUAUUUUCACAAUUACAUCUUCAAUAAUACCCUUCGAAAUUUUGAUACUUCUAUCGGCCAAUUGUAAACGCACAUCCGUGGGUUUUAAUCCCAAUCCUAGUUGUUUAUAUAAUGAAAAAUGUAUCAGAUUGACCACAGCUCCAAGAUCUAGGAGAGCUUGGUCCUCAAAGUUUUCACCUAUCUUACAUGAAAUGGUUGGGCUACCUGGAUCCUUAUGUUUGACAACCGCUUGAUUGAGAAUAUAAGAUGUAGACUGUUGUGUCAAGAAAGCCUCUUUCGGUAGAUUUGUUUUCUUUUUAAGCAUAUCCUUGAUACAUUUUUCAUAGGUCGGUAUUUGUUUGAUGGCUGUUAAGAAUGGAAUAUUGAUUUGAAGAUGUUGAAAAAUUUCUGCUAACUCAUUGAACUUACUUUCUUGUCUGGGUUUUAACCUGGACGGAUAUGGUGCAAUGGGUCGUGGUACUGUUGGUUUGUCUUUCUUAGGCUCUUGAUUCUUCUUUGGUGCAAUAACUUCGUUUUCUUUUGUAGGGGGUGAUUCUUUCUCACUUUAUUCAGCAGAUUCUGUUUCUAAGUUUCGUUGUGAUUCUUCUAUGUUAUCUUUUUCUACAAAAUUAUCUCGUUCAGGAACGUAAUCCACUUUGUUGUCAACUUUCUUUCCAGAUCUAAGGGUAGUUAUUGCAUUCAUUUGUUGGUUUGAGGUGGAUGCCUCAUAUACGCCUUUUCCUCUAGGAUUUGGCUCAAGUUGACUGGGUAAACUACCUUUUAGUCUUUCAGCUAAAGUUGUGACUACUUGACCUAGCAAUUGUUGCAUCAUUUGGAACUGCUUAUUUGUUUGUUCUUGCAUUGAGAGCAUGUGUUUGUUAGUUUGCUCUAUCUGUUUGUUCGUUUGUUCUUGCAAGUAAUCUACCCGCGUAUUAGUUUGUUCUAAAUUUUGGGCCACAACCUUUAGUGUAUUUUCAAAAUUUGCGUUAGGUUGAGCCAUCGAUGCUUGGUAAUUUGUCAUGGGAUCUACCACAAUGGUUCUAUUAUUGUAUAAAGGUUGUGUUGGCAUAUUGUUUGAGUAAUUAGGAGGAUUUACGACAUUAUUUGGUUGGCUCCACGUAAAAUUUGGAUGAUUCCUCAUAUCAGGAUGGUAGGUGUUUCCAAAGGUAUUGGCAGUGGGUCUCCUAGUGUAAGCAUUAUAAGCAUAAACUUGUUCUAAAGCUGGUUCAUACAUGGUAAAAACUGGACAUGCAUCAACAGUAUGAGAUAUUUCUCCACAUUGUACACAAGAUUCUAUCUGGGUAUAAUUAAUAUUAUUGGCAGAAACCAUGCUAAAAGUAUCUAUUUUCUUACUUAAAGACUCAACGGUGGUAGCUAGCUUAGAUAUUGUCGAUGUAAGUUCGGAGUCUUGCUUAACAUUAUACUUUCCAGUUUUUAUCGGUAUUCCCUCUAUUUUAGCAAUAUUCUCAUUGUUGCCACCCCAUUUUUGAGCGUUCUCGGCUAGUUCCUCAAGGAAUUUGUAAGCAUCUUCGGCCUUUUGUUUUAGAAAUUUCCCUUGGUGCAUAGACUCGAGCAAUGUUCGAUUCAUUCCAGAAAUUCCUUUGUAAAAAUGGUGAACUUGUUGGGCUUUGUCGAAGUUGUGGUGUGGGCAACGAAUAAGUAAAUCGUUAAAACGUUCCCAACUUUCAGAAAAUUCUUCGUCGGGCUUUCCUUUAAAAUUGGCUAUUACAGCUCUCAUAGCAUCUGUUUUGGCUUGUGGGUAAAACUUUGCUAGGAAUUUUCUUUCUAACCCUUCCCAUGUAGUGAUUGAAUUGGCUGGUAAAGAGUUAAGCCAAUAGGCAGCUUUAUCUUCAAGGGUUAAAGGAAAUAAACGCAACCUAAAAUCGUCGAUACCCAAAUGCUGAUUCUUGACAGUGUUUAGAAUUGUAAUAAAUUUACGCACAUGACGAUAAGGUUGUUCAUUUUCGAAUCCAUGGAAUUUAGGUAACAUGUGGAUAAUUGAAGGUUUUAUUUCAAAAUGUUGUGCAUCACAUGCUGGCAAUACAAUAGAAGAAGGCGGGUUGGUGGUUACUGGAGCAAAUUGCUCAUCGAGAUUUCUAGCAUCCACAAGGCCCGCCUUGAUAGAAAAGGUAGUUGGCGAUAAAGGAGUAGAAGAUUCCUCGUCCGAGGAUAGAAGAUCAAUACUAACUAGACGAUUAAUUUCGUUUCUCACCCAACCAAGUUUGGGCAUACAAAGUAAUCAAGCACAAACAAAAAAUUAUUAUAGAUCAAACAAAUCAAUUUUUUUUUUUUUUUUUACUAUAAUUCAAAUUUUUUUUUUAUUUAAUUUUUUAGGUUACGAAUUUUAAGCAAAACUAAUACUUCUAGACUUAGCUCCUACUCUUGGCAAGGUAAAAUCUUAAGUAGUUCAAAUAACUUUCGCCCAAAUGCAACCAGAUCAGUUCCCAGAUUCAGUGGGGGGUCUUCUGUGUAUAACACGUUCUUCAAUUAUGUAACCAUUUAAACCUUAGACGGCAUUGCAUGUUGUUUAACAGAACUUUUCUAGACAUUGCACAAGAAGUACUAAUUAUAAGAAUUCCUUAAAAUCUUAUCCUAUUUAAGAGGGUCUUAUGAGCUAUAUAGCAACCCUUGGCUUGAAGUCUAAUAAAUUUAAAUUAUUAAUCGGGCUUAGGUUAUGCAAGAUGUUGAGAUUUUUAACCUAAGUGGGCAAAAUAGCGGUGAUGAAAUCCACUACUUUAUCUUGUUGGGGUUCUUGCCCUUAUCUAAUAUUUUAUGCAAAUGUUAAAUUAAAUGCGCAAUACACCACUCAAUUAAAAUAAACCGCUAACUUGGACUUCGCGGUGAGAAGAUUUACUUACAGGAUCGGGCCACUAAAAAUGAAUUAGUGUACGAACCCGUGCAGAAACAAACUAGUCAAUUGUCCGUGACUAUUUGUUGUCCUUCUCUACCAGAUAGUGAGUGUAUAAAUGUAAUAAUUGAAACUAUAGUCUACUAUAAUUUAAUUUCUAACUAAAAUUGAAAACAAGUAACUAGAGAAAAGAGAAAAAAAUAAACUCAAUAUGGAUGGUGAGAGGGUUGGCUGGGUCCCAAUAGACUGUCGAUCAGUAUGAUGACGCCUUUUCUUCCUUGGUUCGAUUCCUUCUUAGACCGGCAACGACGCCAAUUGAAAGGCACGAAAUAGUCGUUAAUUAGAUCGCGUCUUUCAAAACCUUGCUUUGACUACCUAAAAUGAGUAUAGCUUCAAGAAAGGGUUAUCGAAUCCACGUUUAAGAGAGAACCAAGUUAAAUGAAGAAAAGAAAACCAUUUUUACAAAUCUAGAGAAUAUUGGGAAAAUAAUUUUGCAAGGUAUUGGUGAUUAACUACUACUAAUGUAAGAAAUAAUUGUACGAAGAUAAAUAUGAUGAAGAUUUCAAGAGAUUGAAUCCACCAAUUCAAUUAUGUAAUACUUAAUAUAUAGAUUUAUCAAGAUUGAUCCGUAGAUAGAUACUCAUUACACACUAAGAUGAUUCGAAAUGCAUAAUGGGAAGGUAUGGCUUUAAACACUUAUUCUAUCUACAUUAGAGUCUAUCAAUUCUGGAAAACCAAUGAUACUUUUUAUCAUUAAAAUCUGAGGAAAGACUACAACACAAUGUACAACUAUUAUGUUGGUGGCAAGAAAGAGUACGUUCGUCUUUCAGACCGUCACUCAAUGUGUCCCCAAAUUGCUAUAGCAAAGUGUAUAUUCCAUCUACUAAAAGAAUUUAAAGAACUAAGAAGAAAGUAAAUAAACACCUUAAUAUGUUUCAUUUCACAAAUAAAUCAUUGCAAUUACUUACCUCUAACCUUCUCUCGAAGCGCUAGAUCCUUGACCUCCAGAAUUACUCUAAUGGAUUAAAGCUUAAUAACUCAUAUAUUAACUACUACAUAAAAUGAAAAGGCUUCAUCUCUCCCUUGAAAAGGGAGAUUAACCUAGCAUAAUACUAAACUAAAAUCUAUUAAAUGAAAUGACAUAAAAUAAAAACUAACUAAACUAAAAGAAGAAGAAGAAAAGAACUUUUAUUUGAAUGAGUUUUUGCUCUCCACUCUUGAUGAUCAUUACAAUGAAUAGAGCUCCCUAUUUAUAGAUCCAUAGGGAGCCUAAAAGGGCAAAAUUACAAAAUAUUAUAUAAUAUUUGAUUUGAUUGCUAAUCAAAUCAAAUCAUUUGUGGAAGAAAAUGUCAAGAAUAAAAUCUUUGAAUGAUUGUGGUCAAAGAUUAAUGAAAAACAUGUGUUGAAAAUCAAAUCCUUGUCACCAUUGUUGCCAAUUUUGUAUAAAACUGCCAUAUAUAGUGGUAUUCUAGAAGAUACUGGCAGUCUUUCUUGGAUGGUUGAGUUGUCACAAUAUUCUCCAUAUUUUACACAUGCUAGAAUCUUAAAUAUCAACUUUGAAGUGAUUCCAUACUCCAUCUUCUAUUUAGUAGUCUCACUUCACUUAUCUCUUUACUGGGCCUCUCUUGGAUUUAAGCUUUGUAGAUAAUUUAUGGGCUCAUUUAUAUUUAAUCCACUAAUAUUCAUUAGAUCUGUGACUUUUGGCUUCAUACUUGACUUUUCUCUUUUUACUCUUUUUAUAUCAUUUUGUAGGUUUUUUCUUAGAUUUAUUCUUUUCUAGGUUCUUUCCUACAAAAAUACAAAAACAAUAUAUAUUACUCUAAUUCAAGUCCAAAAGUGAGUUCUAACAUCAUACUAAUCAGGGGUAAAAACUACAUUUUUGGAUACUUAUCAAUGACGAGAGUUACUAUUUCAAGUUCAACAUCGAAGAAGACAAACAAUCUGUACUGGAUUUGGGCUCUUUUCACAUGACAGGUAAAAUCUGUGAUAAACCCAUGGGAUAAAGAAGCAGAGGAGAAUAAAGGUUCCAUUAGAACUAUACCUGUUUGGAUCAAGCUAUCUAAUGUUCCAAAGCACAUGUGGCACACUAAAGGGCUGAGCUUGUUAGCUAGUGCAGUGGGGAAACCGCUUUGUAUGGACAAAGCCACGAAAACAAGGAAGAUGCUGACUUUUGCAAGAAUUUGUGUGGAUGUAGAAGCAAUAAAGGAAUUACCAGUUUCGAUCCCUAUUGAAAUUAACACAGGAAAGGUGAUUACUGUUGAAGUGGAGUAUGAUUGGAAACCUUUGUUAUCCACAAAAUGUCAAGUGUUUGGACACAAUACAACCAAAUGUGUUCCAACUAUCUCAUAUAAGAAGAAAGCGUAUGUAGGAGCAGGGAAAUGAGGGUUGGAUCAAUAGUAAAACUGUUUGGAGAUGGCAUAGGGAGGAAGUUCCGAUCACAAACAUGGAAAAAACUAAACAUCAAGGGGCAGGUACAAGUGGAGUUAAAAAGGUUAUUUCUAUGAAGAAGGGGUUUGUAGAUAAACCACAAAUGAAGAACAAGUUUAAAGUCCUUGAUGAGAUAGUAGAUGGUGAAGAGGUUAAUGUAGUAGGGGGUGAAACAGGAUGUGAUAAACAAGAAGAAGAAGUUCAAAAUUCUGAAGUGGGCGAUUCUAAGGAAGAUGGAGAAAUUACACCAAAUAGUGUUGAGGAAAUGGAUACCCAAUUUGAAGCUAUAGAAGAAGGAGUGGAGAAGGAGCUGAAUAGAAAGAUUGAAGCCAUUGUUAAAGACAACAAA